RNAcentral lists this ribosomal RNA (966 nucleotides) under Vibrio vulnificus. Its description in RNAcentral is "partial 23S ribosomal RNA". It matches the Rfam family "Bacterial large subunit ribosomal RNA", at positions 411 to 1381 of the family's 2925-position model. Lineage: Bacteria; Pseudomonadati; Pseudomonadota; Gammaproteobacteria; Vibrionales; Vibrionaceae. The record is from RNAcentral.
AGUAGGGCGGGACACGUGUUAUCCUGUCUGAAUAUGGGGGGACCAUCCUCCAAGGCUAAAUACUCCUGACUGACCGAUAGUGAACCAGUACCGUGAGGGAAAGGCGAAAAGAACCCCUGUGAGGGGAGUGAAAUAGAACCUGAAACCGUGUACGUACAAGCAGUAGGAGCACCUUCGUGGUGUGACUGCGUACCUUUUGUAUAAUGGGUCAGCGACUUAUAUUCAGUGGCAAGGUUAACCAUCUAGGGGAGCCGUAGGGAAACCGAGUCUUAACUGGGCGCCAUAGUCUCUGGAUAUAGACCCGAAACCGAGUGAUCUAGCCAUGGGCAGGUUGAAGGUUGAGUAACAUCAACUGGAGGACCGAACCGACUAAUGUUGAAAAAUUAGCGGAUGACUUGUGGCUAGGGGUGAAAGGCCAAUCAAACUCGGAGAUAGCUGGUUCUCCCCGAAAGCUAUUUAGGUAGCGCCUCGGACGAAUACUACUGGGGGUAGAGCACUGUUAAGGCUAGGGGGUCAUCCCGACUUACCAACCCUUUGCAAACUCCGAAUACCAGUAAGUACUAUCCGGGAGACACACGGCGGGUGCUAACGUCCGUCGUGGAGAGGGAAACAACCCAGACCGCCAGCUAAGGUCCCAAAUUACAGCUAAGUGGGAAACGAUGUGGGAAGGCUUAGACAGCUAGGAUGUUGGCUUAGAAGCAGCCAUCAUUUAAAGAAAGCGUAAUAGCUCACUAGUCGAGUCGGCCUGCGCGGAAGAUGUAACGGGGCUAAGUUGUAAACCGAAGCUGCGGCAAUGUUCUUUGAACAUUGGGUAGGGGAGCGUUCUGUAAGCCGUUGAAGGUGUGUUGUAAAGCAUGCUGGAGGUAUCAGAAGUGCGAAUGCUGACAUGAGUAACGACAAGGGGGGUGAAAAACCUCCCCGCCGGAAGACCAAGGGUUCCUGUCCAACGUUAAUCGGGGCAGGGUA